RNAcentral lists this long non-coding RNA (839 nucleotides) under Salvator merianae (Argentine black and white tegu). Its description in RNAcentral is "lncRNA (ENSSMRG00000020628.1)". Lineage: Eukaryota; Metazoa; Chordata; Lepidosauria; Squamata; Teiidae. The record is from RNAcentral.
CACCCAGGCUUUUCUUCCCUCCGACCAGGCUAACCCCUUGGUAAGAAGACAGGGGGUAGUCAGGGGGGGUUGCCGAGCUGCAGGAAUGCCGGAAACAGCUCCUGCUGGAAAAUGGCUCCUGCUGUUUCUCCCACGCAGGCUCUUCUAUCCCUCCCAGCUGGGCUCCCCCCUCAAUUAAAAGACGGGGAAGUCAAGAGGAGUUCCCAAUUGUCUUGUCUUCUCUUCUCCCCUCUGUUCUCAGCAUGAGAGGUGAUCCCAGUUUGAAACAACUGGAGCNGCAAAACAUGGGAAGUCAGGGGGUUUCCUGAGGAGCAGCUGGCUGGGUCUCCAGCGGCUGAGAGAUGCAGAGGGAAAUGCGGAAAGCGGAAUCUCUUUCUUCUCCCCUCUGUUGUUGGGUCAGGAGGUGUUGUUGGACCCCACCAGCAGCUGGCGCGAGUCCUCUCAGUCUGCUGCUUUGGAUGUCGCUUCACGUUCCUGACUGGGGAGUUGGGCACAGGAAAAAGCUUUUAUACUACGUGCCCCCUAGCGGUUGUUCAGAAUCAGGAGCAAUAAUGGGAGCACAACCCAUGGUGCUUAGGCUGAGUCCCUCAAGAAUGCACUAAGUCAGAAUUAUUGUGGAAAACCUUCAAAGAAAGAAAGGAUACAUUUCACCGGAACUUGAAACUCCACAAAAAUGGGAUCUGGUUUUGUACAAACUCAGGAUAAGCUCUUUUUUAAAAUGGCAUUUUGAACCAGUUCAGGACACUUGAAAUGCCCUAUUUCAAGGGCAAAAUGUUUCUGUAUUGUGUUUAACACAUUGCAUAUGACUAUCCAGCAUUUCCUGCUUAUUAAAAAAAAAC